Molecule: ribosomal RNA, 205 nt
Filed under: Escherichia coli
Lineage: Bacteria; Pseudomonadati; Pseudomonadota; Gammaproteobacteria; Enterobacterales; Enterobacteriaceae
Description: partial 16S ribosomal RNA
Rfam family: Bacterial small subunit ribosomal RNA
Source: RNAcentral
AAAUUGAAGAGUUUGAUCAUGGCUCAGAUUGAACGCUGGCGGCAGGCCUAACACAUGCAAGUCGAACGGUAACAGAAAUCAGCUUGCUGAUUUGCUGACGAGUGGCGGACGGGUGAGUAAUGUCUGGGAAACUGCCUGAUGGAGGGGGAUAACUACUGGAAACGGUAGCUAAUACCGCAUAAUGUCGCAAGACCAAAGAGGGGGA